AGUAACGCGUGGGUAACCUGCCUCAUACAGGGGGAUAACAGUUAAGAAAUGACUGCUAAUACCGCAUAAGCGCACAGUGCUGCAUGGCACAGUGUGAAAAACUCCGGUGGUAUGAGAUGGACCCGCGUCUGAUUAGCUAGUUGGUGGGGUAACGGCCUACCAAGGCGACGAUCAGUAGCCGGCCUGAGAGGGUGAACGGCCACAUUGGGACUGAGACACGGCCCAA
RNAcentral lists this ribosomal RNA (226 nucleotides) under uncultured bacterium. Its description in RNAcentral is "partial 16S ribosomal RNA". It matches the Rfam family "Bacterial small subunit ribosomal RNA", at positions 109 to 334 of the family's 1533-position model. The record is from RNAcentral.